ACUCAAAUGAAUAGACGGGGGCCCGCACAAGCGGUGGAGCAUGCGGCUUAAUUCGAUGCAACGCGAAGAACCUUACCUGGGUUUGACAUGGAUGGGUGUCUAACACUCUGAAUGUGAAAGCGUUCAACCUUCUUAGAUGAAAGUUUAGGAGGGGUAAUUCACAGGUGCUGCAUGGCUGUCGUCAGCUCGUGUCGUGAGAUGUUCGGUUAAGUCCGUUAACGAGCGCAACCCCUGUUCUUAGUUGCCAGCAAGUAAAGUUGGGGACUCUAGGAAGACCGACCUCUUUAUGAGGUAGGAAGAUGGGGAUGACGUCAAGUCAGCAUGGCCCUUACACCCAGGGCUGCACGCGUGCUACAAUGCCUAGUACAAAGGGAAGCAAUACUGCGAAGUGGAGCCAAUCCCUAAAACUAGGCCCAGUUCAGAUUGAAGUCUGCAAUUCGACUUCAUGAAGUUGGAAUCGCUAGUAAUGGCGCAUCAGCUACGGCGCCGUGAAUACGUUCCCGGGCCUUGUACACACCGCCCGU
Molecule: ribosomal RNA, 524 nt
Filed under: uncultured bacterium
Lineage: Bacteria
Description: partial 16S ribosomal RNA
Rfam family: Bacterial small subunit ribosomal RNA
Source: RNAcentral